UGAGGAAUAUUGGUCAAUGGGCGAGAGCCUGAACCAGCCACGUCGCGUGAAGGAAGAAGGUUCUAUGGAUUGUAAACUUCUUUUGCAGGGGAAUAAAUGACGGUACGUGUACUGUUUUGUAUGUACCUUGCGAAUAAGGAUCGGCUAACUCCGUGCCAGCAGCCGCGGUAAUACGGAGGAUCCGAGCGUUAUCCGGAUUUAUUGGGUUUAAAGGGUGCGUAGGUGGAUUGUUAAGUCAGUGGUGAAAGUUUUCAGCUCAACUGAAAAAUUGCCGUUGAAACUGUCGAGCUUGAGGUCAAAUGAGGUAGGCGGAAUGUGUUGUGUAGCGGUGAAAUGCUUAGAUAUAACACAUAACUCCGAUUGCGAAGGCAGCUUACUGGGAUGCAACUGACACUGAUGCGCGAAAGCGUGGGUAUCAAACA
RNAcentral lists this ribosomal RNA (422 nucleotides) under uncultured prokaryote. Its description in RNAcentral is "bacterial SSU rRNA". It matches the Rfam family "Bacterial small subunit ribosomal RNA", at positions 355 to 774 of the family's 1533-position model. The record is from RNAcentral.